CACGCUGUAAACGAUGAGCACUAAGUGUCGGGAAACCGGUGCUGAAGUUAACACAUUAAGUGCUCCGCCUGAGUAGUACGGUCGCAAGACUGAAACUCAAAGGAAUUGACGGGCACCCGCACAAGCGGUGGAGCAUGCCGUUUAAUUCGACAAUACGCGAAAAACCUUACCAAGACUUGACAUCCCCAGCAAAGCUAUAGAAAUAUAGUGGAGGUUACCUGGGUGACAGGUGG
This 233-nucleotide ribosomal RNA is filed under the name uncultured bacterium. RNAcentral's name for it is "partial 16S ribosomal RNA". It matches the Rfam family "Bacterial small subunit ribosomal RNA", at positions 796 to 1041 of the family's 1533-position model. The record is from RNAcentral.